RNAcentral lists this non-coding RNA (123 nucleotides) under uncultured Corynebacterium sp. Its description in RNAcentral is "Glycine riboswitch". It matches the Rfam family "Glycine riboswitch aptamer", at positions 9 to 86 of the family's 94-position model. Rfam says of the family: This family represents the bacterial glycine riboswitch. Lineage: Bacteria; Bacillati; Actinomycetota; Actinomycetes; Mycobacteriales; Corynebacteriaceae. The record is from RNAcentral.
CACCUCUGGAAAGAUCCCCGAGCCUUCGUAUGCCCGGGGGCGCCGAAGGAGAAACGCGCCAGCCAAUCAGCACCCCUAACCGGCGGCGCCGAAAGCUCUCAGGCACCACAGACAGAGCGGGGA